AUGAUUAUCUCUUUUGAUUUUGUAUUCAUUAUGCACCUCAUGGAGAAAAUUAUGAAGAUCACAGAUGUUUUAUGUCAAAUGCUCCAAAGGAAGUCUCUGGAUAUUUUAAACGCAUUAGAUUGUGUUGCAAACACAAAGUUUCUACUUGCUGAACUAAGAGAAGAUGGCUGGGAACCACUUCUAAAAGAGGUUAAAUCUUUUUGUCUGAAGCAUGAUAUUGACACCCCCGAUUUUAGUUCCAAGUACGUUGAUAUGACUAAAUCUCGAAACAAGCAUGACAACACCACAACACUUCACCACUAUAAAGCAGAUGUAUUCAAUGUUGCCAUAGAUCAACAACUGGUCGAGCUAAAUGACCGGUUCAGCAUUCAAAGCACUGAGCUAUUGAGGCUUUGUGUAUCCUUGAAUCCACUGCAUGACACAUUUGAUGUGAUAAAGAUAUGCACUCUAGCAGAAAAGUUUUAUCCUGCUGAUUUUUCUAACCAAGACUUGGCUCGGUUAGAGUCUCAACUUAUCCAUUUCAGAAUGGAUGUUUGCUCACAUCCAGAACUAUUGCGGUUGGUUAUUACUCUUCCAGUUUCAACGACAAACACUGAGCGAGCCUUUUCUGCUAUGAAACUAGUGAAGACGCGUCUUCGAGGCAAAAUGGGUGAUGACUUUCUUCAACAUUACAUGAUUGUCUACACUGGAAAGGAUAUAGCUGCAAAAGUCACAUCUGAUGAGAUUAUCCACAUUUUCGACGAUGGUACUCGUAGAGCUGAAUUUCAGUUGAUAGAUAUGUAA
Molecule: ribosomal RNA, 783 nt
Filed under: Triticum aestivum (bread wheat)
Lineage: Eukaryota; Viridiplantae; Streptophyta; Magnoliopsida; Poales; Poaceae
Description: partial small subunit ribosomal RNA
Source: RNAcentral